GAUGAACGCUGGCGGCGUGCCUAAGACAUGCAAGUCGAGCGAACGGACGAGAAGCUUGCGUCUCUGAUGUUAGCGGCGGACGGGGGAGGAACACGUGGAUAACCUACCUAUAGGACUGGGAUGACUUCGGGAAACCGGAGCUAAUACCGGAUGAUAUUUUGAACUGCAUGGUUCAAAAGUGAAAGACGGUCUUGCUGUCACUUAUAGAUGUAUCCGCGCUGCAUUAGCUAGUUGGUAAGGUAACGGCUUACCAAGGCAACUAUGCAUAGCCGACCUGAGAGGGCGAUCGGCUAAAGUGGAACUGAAACACGGUCCUGACUCCUACGAGAGGCAGCAGAAGGGAAUCUUCCGCAAUGGGCGAAAGCCUGACGGAGCAAAGCCGCGUGAGUGCUGAAGGUCUUCGGGUCGUAAAAAUCUGAUAUUAGGGAAUAACAUAGGUGUUAGUAACUGCGCUCAUCAUGACGGUACCUAAUCAGACAGCCACGGCUAACUACGUG
This 497-nucleotide ribosomal RNA is filed under the name uncultured bacterium. RNAcentral's name for it is "partial 16S ribosomal RNA". It matches the Rfam family "Bacterial small subunit ribosomal RNA", at positions 28 to 507 of the family's 1533-position model. The record is from RNAcentral.